This is a long non-coding RNA of Gorilla gorilla gorilla (western lowland gorilla), 1039 nucleotides long. RefSeq lists it as uncharacterized. The transcript has 6 exons. The record is from RefSeq and is a predicted model, not a curated record. NCBI's taxonomy places the organism in Eukaryota, Metazoa, Chordata, Mammalia, Primates, Hominidae.
UUCGCUGGCCCAGGAAGGGGUGAAUCACAGAUCAGUGUCAGAGGUGCGAUGAAAACCCAGGAGUUCUGAUUCCUGGGUCACCAUGCUCCCUUUGCCAAGGGUGGAGCCGACACCAACAGACUCUUAGCUCCUGUGCCCUGUGCAUCCUGGUGUUCGUGCACGUGCUGCACGGGUGAGCCUGCCUGAAACUGAGCGUGUGGGUUAAGGGUCUGGAAAGAUGCAUAAAUUUCCACUAGAAGAGGAGAAAGGCAUAAGACAGACCUCAGCUGUCGUCCAGGAAAGGAAGGGCCGCCAGUCUGGAGUGACAACUAGGAUCAACGAGGGGCAAGGAUAGAAGCAGAGACAUCAAUGAAGAAGAGGCUAUAGAAAGAUUCUGAGCAAGAAAUGACAAUGGGUUGGUAAUGGUAGUGCAGGUGAUAAGAAGAAGUCAUGUUCCGGAUGUAUUUUUUCAGAUCAUUUGCUCUGGAGAAAGCCAGCAGGCAUGAGAGGCCCAUAUGAUUAAAGCCGCAGCGUCUCUCAGUUGAAGGCAGAGGUAUAAAGUCAAAGACUCCAGAAGUUCUUGGAAAAUGAUAAGUCAAUCUCUUGACAAAUGAUCCGGGGCAACUUCGAAUUCCUGUUUCUAUCUCUACCUCUCUGAUUACUUUAACAAGCACUUUCUGAUUGGACCUUGGUAAUUCCAGCAAGCCAAGACUUUCCAUGGGACUUCACCUCACCCUCUUAGACUACUGGCAACCUCGCAUCCCCUGAAUUCCUGUUCAGGGAGAAGAGCAAGUCCUUCCUUCAGGGACUGGAGAAUGACAACCUUCACAGAACCCAGAGAUAGAGACUGAGGACUCAGAAUGUAGACUGGGAAUAAGAGAACUACAGCCAGGGGCCAAAUCUCUCCAGCCACACCAAAAAAAAAAAAAAAAAAAAAAGCUUGAUUGGGGUACAUUUGACAUACAAAAAAACUGCACACAUUUAAUGUAUACAAUUUGAUGAGUUGGGUACAUGCAUACAGCCAUGAAACUAUCACCACAAUCAAUGUAAUAAACAUAUC